CAGAUUAAAAUUAAACAAUAUUAUAAUAAUAACAAAGAAAAAUCAAAUGAUUCUUUCCCUAAUGGCAGGAAAAGCAUGGUAAAAUUAAAAACAAAUCUAUUCAUCAUAAAAAAUCAAUAAACUAGGAAUAAAAAGAACUUUUAUGAUUUGAUAAGGGGUAUCUUUUUUAAAAAAUAUAGCAAACACGCCAGACUUUUCAUCAUGCCAAGGGAAGGCUGAUAUUAAAUACUUCCCUAACCGUGAAUGCUGACAAAGAUUCCUGCUACUGGCAUGCCAUGUCAUAUACCUGUAAGAUCUGGGUCACAGCCUCUGAUUAUACCAGGGAAGGGAUACUUCCCCUCAAAAUUUAUGCUAGGUUGUCAAAAUUGGGCUUACACCAAAACUAUGCCACAUUAUGCUGCUCUUGUAUCCCACCUGAUCACAACAGUGAGUAGCUUCAGCUUCUGUACUUAAUGCAGUUUAAAAACUAUAAAGCCCAAGGUUGUAAGCCCUAUCUCAUAGUAUGAAAAUGUCAUUAGACUUCUAUACACUGACAUAGAAAGAAUGGGCAAUGUGGGGACAAGUGCAUCUGGUAUUACUCCAGGCUUUAUAAGUUUUCCUCCAAUGAAUAUUACUCUAGUAGGCUUUGUAUGAAUUCUACUUGGCCAUUUGCGCUUAAUUACAUAAAAACUGUCACAGAAAACUGGACAUCAGGUCAGGUUUCUACUGCAGUUUUCUGGAAGUAAAGCAAAGGACCAGAGGUGAAAGACUCAUUUUGGCAUUUUGGCAGCAUGCCCAGUCAUCAGGAUGGCUAAUCACUAACUGCAACUGGGAAAUAGCCCUAAAGUCCCAAUGAAUAAAAUAUCUGGAAAAUAAGACUGGCCAGGUUGGAACUCCUUGGUUGUUAUUAAUGGCCUUGGUGAGAAUCUCCUAGGAAGAGGCAAACUCCACUGAAGGGAAGGUUAAGUAAUCCCUGAUGAAAUUAUAUAGACACACACAGAGAAGUAAUGAUGCAAAACAAGAGCUGGAAAAUACUCUUACAGAAAAGUAAGGGAGGAAGAUUUUCUCUAGCAUACAUCUACACUAACAUAAAGAAAGCUAUUAUAAUAAGGUGGAGUGUUGCUGGCACAUAAACAGAAAUAAAAAGCAGUGGUGAAUAUGAGUCCAGAAAUAGACCAAUCCACAUAAAGACACCUGAUUUAUAACAAAGCUAAUAUUGCACAGUAGUGGGUAUAGACACAUAUUUCAACUAAUGGUGCUGAGAUUAUUGGGUUUUCAUAUGGAGAAGAAAGAAAUUAAAUUGCUACCUUAUACUAUAUCCAAAAAAGAAAAAAAAAAUGAAACAAUUCCAGGUAGAUUACAAACCUAAAAUAUGAAAGUUGAAGCUAUAAUGCUUAUGGAAAAUAGUACAGAGGAUAUAUUUGUGAAUUUGGGGUAAGAAAAUGUUUCUUAUGCAAGACACCAAACACAUUAUUUCUAAAGUAAAAGACUGAUAAAUGUGACUACCUUACACUUACGGAGCUCUGUUCAUCAAAAGACACCAAGAAAGGGAAGAGACAAGCUAGAGUAUGGGAAAAGCUACUUGCAACACAUACAAUCAACAUCGGACUCACAUUUAGAAGACAUAAAGAACUCCUAGAAAAUCAAUGGGAACAAAGCAGAAAACCAAGUUAAAAACUGGGUAAAACUCAAACAAAUAUUUCAAUAGAAAGGAUAUCCAAAUGGAUAGUAAACACAGAAAAAAGUUGUCAAACUCAUUAGUAAUUAGGAAAUUAGAAAUUAAAAUCACAAUUCUUUGACAAGCACACCAAGACAAUUCAAUGGAGAACAAAUCGUUUUUCAUGAAACGGUGCUGAGACAACUGGAUAGCCACAUGCAAAGAAUUAAGUUGAAUCUCUAUCCCACAGCAUACACAAAAAUGAUCUCAAAAUGGAUCAAAGACCCAAAUGUAAAAUGUAAAACUAUAAUAAACUCUUUGAAGAAAACAGGUGUAAAUCUUUGUGACCUUGAAUUAGGCAAUGGUUUCUUAGGGGUAAUACCAAAAGCACAAGCAAACAAAACACAGAAAAAUUAGACUUUAUCAAAAUGUAAAACUUCUGUGUUUGAAAGAACACUAUAUCAAGAAAGUGAAGAGAUGACCCAAAGAAUUGGAGGAAACAUUUAUAAAUUAUGUAUCUGAUAAGGGUUUAGUAUCCAACAUAUACAAAGAACUAAUACAAUUCAACAAUAAAAGACAACCUAAUUUUUUAAAUGGGCAAAGAUUUUAAAUAGGCAUCUCUCCAAAGAAGAUAUGGAGAUUGGCAAUAAACACAUGAAAAGAUGUUCAACAUCACUGAUCACUAGGGUAAUGCAAAUCAAAACCACAACUAGAUUCACACAACCUCUUUACACCUACUGGGGUGGGUAUAAUAAAAAAGACAGACAAUGACAAGUGUUGGUGAGGAUGUGGAGAAAUUGGGCUCUCAAACACUACUGAUAAAAUGGAAAAUGGUGCAGCCCCCUUGGAAAACAGUUUGGCAGUUCCUCAAAAAGCUAGACACAGAGUUAUAUUAUGACCUAGCAGUUCUGAUCCUAGGUAUGUACCCCAAAGAACUGAAAUGUAUUGUCACAUAAAAAAUUACACAUGACCAUUUAUAGCAGCAUUAUUCAUUAAUAGCCAAAAAAUGAAUACGAGCCAAAUGUCCAUCAACAGAUGAAUGGAUAAAUAAAAUACGGUAUAUUUAUACAAUGUAAUAUUAUUCAGCCAUAAAGAGAAGUACUGAUAACUUCUACAAUAUAAACGAAUCUUGAAAACAUUAUACUAAAUGAAAGAAGCCAGAAACAAAAGGCCACAUAUUGUGUGAUUCCAUUUAUAUGAGAUGUCCAGAACAGGCAAAUCCAGAGACAAAAAAAUGGAUUUGUAUUUUCCAGGGCGAGAGGGAAAAGGAGAAUGCAGAGUGACUGUUAAUGGGUUGGGUGCUUUCUUUGUGAGGUGAUGCAAAUGGUCUGGAAUUAGUGGUGGUGGUUACAUAGUUUUGUGAAUAUACUAAAAAUUAACUAUAUACUUUUAAAAGGUGAGUUUUAUGGUUUAUGAGUUACAUCUCAAAAGUUAUAAGCUGGGAAAUUAUCAAGGAAAUAUAAAAUAGAAUUUAAGUGAACAAAAGCUAUAAGCAAAAACAAGGGUGAAAUCUUAGAAGAAAAUACUAAAUGAACAAAACAAGAUGCAACUCUCUUGAGUACCCCCACACUCCCUUGAGUGUGCACUUUUUGCUUUGAAAUAAAAUCUCUGUACUUUCACUAUUUUCUGACUCAUCCUUGAAUUCCUUCUCAUGAUGGUGUCAAGAGUCUGGACACCGGCUGGCGCUGAGGUCCCAUCGGCAUUUGGGGACCCCCCCCCUCCAGCCUACCAGUAUCAUCUUUAUGGCCAUCCAGCCCAGAGCAUCAUCAGCCACAUCAGAACCACCAGCAGUUGGUAAGUCCCAUUGGGGCCUUAAUUGGAGUCUUCUCGUUCUCUGGAGUUACUGCUACUUUCUUCCUUGUUCCUACAGCCUGACUCCCCUCAGCCGUAGUGCCUCUGCUUCCUCCAGCUGGAAAACGCAGUUCGCCCUGACAGUGACAAAUGGAGGUGGGAAGGCUUUGACCUACACCUGAGCUCUGAGGUGCCAUGGGCCUCCUGGGCAAGAGGCUAAUGAGGGUCGUGCCGAGGACAAGUCAAGGCUAUGGGUAACUCUCUUUUAGAAAAUGGGGUGCAAUGGCCAGAGUCUAGGACCGUAAAAUGCAAUACCAUCUUGGAAUUAAAUCUUUUUUGUAAACAUCA
Molecule: long non-coding RNA, 3775 nt
Organism: Homo sapiens (human)
Lineage: Eukaryota; Metazoa; Chordata; Mammalia; Primates; Hominidae
Exons: 2
Source: RefSeq, a predicted model, not a curated record